RNAcentral lists this ribosomal RNA (848 nucleotides) under Erysipelotrichaceae bacterium. RNAcentral describes it as "bacterial SSU rRNA". It matches the Rfam family "Bacterial small subunit ribosomal RNA", at positions 1 to 859 of the family's 1533-position model. The record is from RNAcentral. Lineage: Bacteria; Bacillati; Bacillota; Erysipelotrichia; Erysipelotrichales; Erysipelotrichaceae.
UUUUGAGAGUUUGAUCCUGGCUCAGGAUGAACGCUGGCGGCGUGCCUAAUACAUGCAAGUCGAACGAAUGAGGUAGCAAUACCGAUUUAGUGGCGAACGGGUGAGUAACACGUAGGCAACCUGCCUCUACGAAGGGGAUAACCGAGGGAAACUUUGGCUAAUACCGUAUAUGUUUCUUCUAGGGCAUCUUAGAAGAAGAAAAGGAGCGAUCCGCGUAGAGAUGGGCCUGCGGUGUAUUAGUUAGUAGGUGAGGUAACGGCUCACCUAGACGAUGAUACAUAGCCGACCUGAGAGGGUGAUCGGCCACAUUGGGACUGAGACACGGCCCAAACUCCUACGGGAGGCAGCAGUAAGGAAUUUUCGGCAAUGGGCGAAAGCCUGACCGAGCAACGCCGCGUGAGUGAUGAAGGUCUUCGGAUUGUAAAGCUCUGUUAUAAGGGAAGAAAAGGUAGGUUUACCUACGUAUUGACGGUACCUUAUUAGAAAGCCAUGGCUAACUACGUGCCAGCAGCCGCGGUAAUACGUAGAUGGCAAGCGUUAUCCGGAAUUAUUGGGCGUAAAGAGGGAGCAGGCGGUGGAAUAAGUCUUCGGUUUAAUAUUGUGGCUCAACCAUAAUUCGCUGAAGAAACUGUUCUACUAGAGUCAAGGAGAGGUUAGUGGAACUCCAAGUGUAGCGGUGGAAUGCGUAGAUAUUUGGAAGAACACCAGUGGCGAAGGCGGCUAACUGGCCUUGUACUGACGCUCAGUCCCGAAAGCGUGGGGAGCAAAUAGGAUUAGAUACCCUAGUAGUCCACGCUGUAAACGAUGAGUAUUAAGUGUUGGAGAAAUUCAGUGCUGAAGUUAACAUA